This 406-nucleotide ribosomal RNA is filed under the name uncultured bacterium. Its description in RNAcentral is "partial 16S ribosomal RNA". It matches the Rfam family "Bacterial small subunit ribosomal RNA", at positions 30 to 526 of the family's 1533-position model. The record is from RNAcentral.
AUUGAACGCUGGCGGCAGGCCUAACACAUGCAAGUCGAACGAGUGGCGGAAGUGUGAGCAAUGACUCGGAAUCUGCCUGAUGGAGGGGGUCAACAACCGGGAACGGAUGCUAAAUCCGCCCACCUUCGGAUGUGUCCAGAUGGGAUUAGCUAGUGGGUGGGGUAAAGGCCGACCAAGGCGACGAUCCCUAGCUGGUCUGAGAGGAUGACCAGCCACACUGGAACUGAGACACGGUCCAGACUCCUACGGGAGGCAGCAGUGGGGAAUAUUGGACAAUGGGCGAAAGCCUGAUGCAGCCAUGCCGCGUGUGUGAAGAAGGCCUUCGGGUUGUAAAGUACUUUCAGUGGGGAGGCGUUACCCGCAGAAGAAGCACCGGCUAACUCCGUGCCAGCAGCCGCGGUAAUAC